UACGGGGGGAGCAAGCGUUGUUCGGAUUUACUGGGCGUAAAGCGUGCGCAGGCGGUUUGCUAAGACAGGUGUGAAAUCCCCGAGCUUAACUUGGGAACUGCGCUUGUAACUGGCAAGCUAGAGUGCGGCAGAGGGGGGUGGAAUUCCACGUGUAGCAGUGAAAUGCGUAGAGAUGUGGAGGAACACCGAUGGCGAAGGCAGCCCCCUGGGUCGACACUGACGCUCAUGCACGAAAGCGUGGGGAGCAAACAGG
This 253-nucleotide ribosomal RNA is filed under the name uncultured bacterium. RNAcentral describes it as "partial 16S ribosomal RNA". It matches the Rfam family "Bacterial small subunit ribosomal RNA", at positions 524 to 776 of the family's 1533-position model. The record is from RNAcentral.